CAGCAGCCACGGUAAUACGGAGGGUGCAAGCGUUAAUCGGAAUUACUGGGCGUAAAGCGUGCGUAGGCGGUUCGUUAAGUCUGUUGUGAAAGCCCCGGGCUCAACCUGGGAAUGGCAAUGGAUACUGGCGAGCUAGAGUGUGUCAGAGGAUGGUGGAAUUCCCGGUGUAGCGGUGAAAUGCGUAGAGAUCGGGAGGAACAUCAGUGGCGAAGGCGGCCAUCUGGGACAACACUGACGCUCAUGCACGAAAGCGUGGGGAGCAAACAGGAUUAGAUACCCCGGUAGUCCCUGUCUCUUAUAC
This 301-nucleotide ribosomal RNA is filed under the name uncultured bacterium. Its description in RNAcentral is "partial 16S ribosomal RNA". It matches the Rfam family "Bacterial small subunit ribosomal RNA", at positions 509 to 807 of the family's 1533-position model. The record is from RNAcentral.